Molecule: non-coding RNA, 134 nt
Organism: Gossypium raimondii (Peruvian cotton)
Lineage: Eukaryota; Viridiplantae; Streptophyta; Magnoliopsida; Malvales; Malvaceae
Source: Rfam
UAAUAAAAAUUUUAUUCAUUUGUAUUGUUAAAAACUGACGUGAUUGAUGAAAUAAUCAUAUACAUACCACGUGUACUUCAUACCGAUGUACAAGUCUAGUUUUCUACUAGUAUAAAUAGAUAAAUUUUUUAACA